RNAcentral lists this ribosomal RNA (465 nucleotides) under Vreelandella stevensii. RNAcentral's name for it is "partial 16S ribosomal RNA". It matches the Rfam family "Bacterial small subunit ribosomal RNA", at positions 338 to 795 of the family's 1533-position model. Lineage: Bacteria; Pseudomonadati; Pseudomonadota; Gammaproteobacteria; Oceanospirillales; Halomonadaceae. The record is from RNAcentral.
CCUACGGGGGGCUGCAGUGGGGAAUAUUGGACAAUGGGCGAAAGCCUGAUCCAGCCAUGCCGCGUGUGUGAAGAAGGCCUUCGGGUUGUAAAGCACUUUCAGUGGGGAAGAAAGCCUUGGGGCUAAUACCCUCGAGGAAGGACAUCACCCACAGAAGAAGCACCGGCUAACUCCGUGCCAGCAGCCGCGGUAAUACGGAGGGUGCGAGCGUUAAUCGGAAUUACUGGGCGUAAAGCGCGCGUAGGCGGUCUGAUAAGCCGGUUGUGAAAGCCCCGGGCUCAACCUGGGAACGGCAUCCGGAACUGUCAGGCUAGAGUGCAGGAGAGGAAGGUAGAAUUCCCGGUGUAGCGGUGAAAUGCGUAGAGAUCGGGAGGAAUACCAGUGGCGAAGGCGGCCUUCUGGACUGACACUGACGCUGAGGUGCGAAAGCGUGGGUAGCAAACAGGAUUGGAUACCCCAGUAGUC